UACGUAGGGGGCAAGCGUUAUCCGGAUUUACUGGGUGUAAAGGGGGCGCAGACGGCGAUGCAAGCCAGGAGUGAAAGCCCGGGGCCCAACCCCGGUACUGCAUUUGAAACUGUCCGGCUGGAGUGCAGGAGAGGUAAGCGGAAUUCCUAGUGUAGCGGUGAAAUGCGUAGAUAUUAGGAGGAACACCAGUGGCGAAGGCGACUUACUGGACUGUAACUGACGUUGAGGCACGAAAGUGUGGGGAGCAAACAGG
RNAcentral lists this ribosomal RNA (253 nucleotides) under uncultured Eubacteriales bacterium. RNAcentral describes it as "uncultured Clostridiales bacterium partial 16S ribosomal RNA". It matches the Rfam family "Bacterial small subunit ribosomal RNA", at positions 524 to 776 of the family's 1533-position model. The record is from RNAcentral. Lineage: Bacteria; Bacillati; Bacillota; Clostridia; Eubacteriales.